CAUAACGUCUUNGGACCAAAGUGGGGGACCUUCGGNCCUCACACCAUCGGAUGUGCCCAGGUGGGAUUAGCUAGUAGGUGGGGUAAUGGCUCACCUAGGCGACGAUCCCUAGCUNGUCUGAGAGGAUGNCCAGCCACACUGGAACUGAGACACGGUCCAGACUCCUACGGGAGGCAGCAGUGGGGAAUAUUGCUCAAUGGGCGCAAGCCUGAUGCAGCCAUGCCGCGUGUAUGAAGAAGGCCUUCGGGUUGUAAAGUACUUUCAGUGGGGAGGAAGGCGAUGAGGUUAAUAACCUCGUCGAUUGACGUUACCCGCAGAAGAAGCACCGGCUAACUCCGUGCCAGCAGCCGCGGUAAUACGGAGGGUGCAAGCGUUAAUCGGAAUUACUGGGCGUAAAGCGCACGCAGGCGGUCUGUCAAGUCGGAUGUGAAAUCCCCGGGCUCAACCUGGGAACUGCAUUGGAAACUGGCAGACUAGAGUCUUGUAGAGGGGGGUAGAAUUCCAGGUGUAGCGGUGAAAUGCGUAGAGAUCUGGAGGAAUACCGGUGGCGAAGGCGGCCCCCUGGACAAAGACUGACGCUCAGGUGCGAAAGCGUGGGGAGCAAACAGGAUUAGCUACCCUCGUAGUCCCCGCCGUAA
Molecule: ribosomal RNA, 638 nt
Filed under: gamma proteobacterium Tree5_2o
Lineage: Bacteria; Pseudomonadati; Pseudomonadota; Gammaproteobacteria
Description: bacterial SSU rRNA
Rfam family: Bacterial small subunit ribosomal RNA
Source: RNAcentral